Molecule: ribosomal RNA, 254 nt
Filed under: uncultured bacterium
Lineage: Bacteria
Description: partial 16S ribosomal RNA
Rfam family: Bacterial small subunit ribosomal RNA
Source: RNAcentral
UACGUAGGGUGCGAGCGUUAAUCGGAAUUAUUGGGCGUAAAGAGCUCGUAGGCGGUGUGUCGCGUCGGCCGUGAAAACCUGCAGCUUAACUGUGGGCGUGCGGUCGAUACGGGCAUCACUGGAGUUCGGCAGGGGAGACUGGAAUUCCUGGUGUAGCGGUGAAAUGCGCAGAUAUCAGGAGGAACACCGGUGGCGAAGGCGGGUCUCUGGGCCGAUACUGACGCUGAGGAGCGAAAGCGUGGGGAGCAAACAGG